This 70-nucleotide transfer RNA is filed under the name Saussurella borneensis. RNAcentral's name for it is "tRNA-Val". The record is from RNAcentral. Lineage: Eukaryota; Metazoa; Arthropoda; Insecta; Orthoptera; Tetrigidae.
CAGGGUAUAACAUGUAUUGUUGUUUUCAGUUACGUUGAAUAUAUUUUUUGUGUGAUUCAAAAUGCCUUGA